Molecule: ribosomal RNA, 876 nt
Filed under: uncultured bacterium
Lineage: Bacteria
Description: bacterial SSU rRNA
Rfam family: Bacterial small subunit ribosomal RNA
Source: RNAcentral
AGAGUUUGAUCCUGGCUCAGAAUCAACGCUGGCGGCGCGCUUAACACAUGCAAGUCGAACGGGAAAGUGGAGCAAUCCAUGAGUACAGUGGCGUACGGGUGAGUAACACGUGGGUAUCUAACUCUUAGUGGGGAAUAACCCUGGGAAACCGGGGCUAAUACCGCAUAAGCUCGAGAGAGGAAAGCAGCAAUGCGCUGAGAGAGGAGCCCGCGGCCGAUUAGCUAGUUGGCAGGGUAAGAGCCUACCAAGGCAGAGAUCGGUAGCCGGCCUGAGAGGGCACACGGCCACACUGGCACUGAAACACGGGCCAGACUCCUACGGGAGGCAGCAGUGGGGAAUCUUGCACAAUGGGGGCAACCCUGAUGCAGCGACGCCGCGUGAGCGAUGAAGCCCUUCGGGGUGUAAAGCUCUUUCGUCAGGGAAGAUUAUGACGGUACCUGGAGAAGCAGCUGCGGCUAACUACGUGCCAGCAGCCGCGGUAAUACGUAGGCAGCGAGCGUUGUUCGGAGUUACUGGGCGUAAAGGGUGUGUAGGCGGUUCUUUAAGUUUGGCGUGAAAUCUCCCGGCUCAACCGGGAGGGUGCGUCGAAUACUGAGGGACUAGAGUACGGGAGAGGAAAGUGGAAUUCCUGGUGUAGCGGUGAAAUGCGUAGAUAUCAGGAGGAACACCGGUGGUGUAGACGGCUUUCUGGACCGUAACUGACGCUGAGACACGAAAGCGUGGGUAGCAAACAGGAUUAGAUACCCUGGUAGUCCACGCCCUAAACGAUGCAUAUUUGGUGUGGGUCAUUCAGUUUGAUCCGUGCCGGGAGCCAACGCGUUAAAUAUGCCGCCUGGGGAGUACAGUCGCAAGGCUGAAACUCAAAGGAAUUGACGG